GAUGAACGCUGGCGGCAUGCCUAACACAUGCAAGUCGAACGGAGAUUAAGAAGCUUGCUUUUUAAUCUUAGUGGCGGACGGGUGAGUAACGCGUGAGUAACCUGCCUAUAAGAGGGGGGAUAACACAGAGAAAUUUGUGCUAAUACCGCAUAUUGAGAAUUAUUCGCAUGUUUGAUUCUUGAAAGAUUUAUCGCUAACAGAUGGGCUUGCGUCUGAUUAGAUAGUUGGUGGGGUAACGGCCUACCAAGUCGACGAUCAGUAGCCGGACUGAGAGGUUCAACGGCCACAUUGGGACUGAGAUACGGCCCAGACUCCUACGGGAGGCAGCAGUCGGGAAUAUUGCGCAAUGGAGGAAACUCUGACGCAGUGACGCCGCGUAUAGGAAGAAGGUUUUCGGAUUGUAAACUAUUGUCUGCAGGGAAGAAACAAGACUGUACCUGCAAAGAAAGCUCCGGCUAACUACGUG
This 466-nucleotide ribosomal RNA is filed under the name uncultured bacterium. Its description in RNAcentral is "bacterial SSU rRNA". It matches the Rfam family "Bacterial small subunit ribosomal RNA", at positions 28 to 507 of the family's 1533-position model. The record is from RNAcentral.